GAUGAACGCUGGCGGCGUGCCUAAUACAUGCAAGUCGAGCGAACAGACGAGGAGCUUGCUCCUCUGACGUUAGCGGCGGACGGGUGAGUAACACGUGGAUAACCUACCUAUAAGACUGGGAUCACUUCGGGAAACCGGAGCUAAUACCGGAUAAUAUAUUGAACCGCAUGGUUCAAUAGUGAAAGACGGUUUUGCUGUCACUUAUAGAUGGAUCCGCGCCGCAUUAGCUAGUUGGUAAGGUAACGGCUUACCAAGGCAACGAUGCGUAGCCGACCUGAGAGGAGGACCGGCCACACUGGAACUGAGACACGGUCCAGACUCCUACGGGAGGCAGCAGUAGGGAAUCUUCCGCAAUGGGCGCAAGCCUGAUGGAGCAACGCCGCGUGAGUGAUGAAGGCCUUCGGAUCGUAAAACUCUGUUAUUAGGGAAGAACAAAUGUGUAAGUAACUAUGCACGUCUUGACGGUACCUAAUCAGAAAGCCACGGCUAACUACGUG
RNAcentral lists this ribosomal RNA (497 nucleotides) under uncultured bacterium. Its description in RNAcentral is "partial 16S ribosomal RNA". It matches the Rfam family "Bacterial small subunit ribosomal RNA", at positions 28 to 507 of the family's 1533-position model. The record is from RNAcentral.